GACGAACGCUGGCGGUGUGCUUAACACAUGCAAGUCGAACGGUAAGGCCCUUUCGGGGGUACACGAGUGGCGAACGGGUGAGUAACACGUGAGUAACCUGCCCUCAUCUCUGGGAUAACAGUCGGAAACGGUUGCUAAUACUGGAUAUGAGCUUGCAAGGCAUCUUGUGGGUUGGAAAGAUUUUUUUGGUUGGGGAUGGACUCGCGGCCUAUCAGCUUGUUGGUGAGGUAGUGGCUCACCAAGGCUUCGACGGGUAGCCGGCCUGAGAGGGCGACCGGCCACAGUGGGACUGAGAUACGGCCCAAACUCCUACGGGAGGCAGCAGUGGGGAAUAUUGCACAAUGGACGGAAGUCUGAUGCAGCAACGCCGCGUGCGGGAUGACGGCCUUCGGGUUGGAAACCGCUUUCAAUUGUGACGAAGCUUUUUGUGACGGUAGCAGUAGAAGAAGCACCGGCUAACUACGUG
Molecule: ribosomal RNA, 466 nt
Filed under: uncultured bacterium
Lineage: Bacteria
Description: partial 16S ribosomal RNA
Rfam family: Bacterial small subunit ribosomal RNA
Source: RNAcentral